AACGAACGCUGGCGGCAUGCCUAACACAUGCAAGUCGAACGAGACCUUCGGGUCUAGUGGCGCACGGGUGCGUAACGCGUGGGAACCUGCCCUUAGGUUCGGAAUAACUCCCCGAAAGGGGUGCUAAUACCGGGUAAUGUCUUCGGACCAAAGAUUUAUCGCCUUUGGAUGGGCCCGCGUUGGAUUAGCUAGUUGGUAGGGUAAAAGCCUACCAAGGCGACGAUCCAUAGCUGGUCUGAGAGGAUGAUCAGCCACACUGGGACUGAGACACGGCCCAGACUCCUACGGGAGGCAGCAGUGGGGAAUAUUGGACAAUGGGCGAAAGCCUGAUCCAGCAAUGCCGCGUGAGUGAUGAAGGCCUUAGGGUUGUAAAGCUCUUUUACCCGGGAUGAUAAUGACAGUACCGGGAGAAUAAGCUCCGGCUAACUCCGU
This 432-nucleotide ribosomal RNA is filed under the name uncultured bacterium. RNAcentral's name for it is "partial 16S ribosomal RNA". It matches the Rfam family "Bacterial small subunit ribosomal RNA", at positions 29 to 506 of the family's 1533-position model. The record is from RNAcentral.